This 591-nucleotide long non-coding RNA is filed under the name Phoenix dactylifera (date palm). RNAcentral describes it as "long non-coding RNA (PDAC_LNC004304)". Lineage: Eukaryota; Viridiplantae; Streptophyta; Magnoliopsida; Arecales; Arecaceae. The record is from RNAcentral.
CUUCCCCGGAUCACGCCAGUAAAUCUUCCACCUGCGAUCGAGUUUCAGAAUCCAUGUCAUCAGAUUCAUUCUCUUCCCCUGUUUCAAAACCACUCCCAGCCGAAUCCAAACUCUCCUUAUCCACGGAUUCAUCCCAGCAUCCGUGAGUUCCUCCCAUAGCCUCCGAGAUCCUCUCAAACCCACUGUUUUUCCAUGGGUCGGAACAGAGCAAAGACCUUCUCAACGUCCACCGUUCGCGAUUCAAGGCUUCCUCCAUCCACGGAUGAGUUCUUCUCCCUUGCUCCACGUUCACACCCUUCUGUUAUCCACAGAUAAGCUUCAAACUCCAACAAUCUCAGCAUCCCGAGUGCAUCCGUCCUCAUCCAGUGGCCAGCCAGCAGCUGUCCGAGAUCUUCUCCACGUUGAAGCCCUUCCGGAUUCCUCUCAGCCGUGAGCGCCAUUCCGUGUUUCCCACGUCUUCCUCUGCUUCGAAACAGAGCUCCCAACCUCCUCCAGGAUCUUGCCAUUCAUCCUGUUCGUGAUCCAUUCCUAUCAGCCAGCCGCAAGUCAGUAUCCACUGUUCACAAGGAUAAACGUCAUCCCCUACUUCCC